Oncorhynchus tshawytscha (Chinook salmon) is the source of this 729-nucleotide long non-coding RNA. Lineage: Eukaryota; Metazoa; Chordata; Actinopteri; Salmoniformes; Salmonidae. The record is from Ensembl.
AGGCACAGGGUUUAUGAUGAGGCUGGAUAGGGCACAGGGAUGAGGCUGGAUAGGGCACAGGGUUUAUGAUGAGGCUGGAUAGGGCACAGGGAUGAGGCUGGAUAGGGUACAGGGAUGAGGCUGGAUAGGGUACAGGGAUGAGGCUGGAUAGGGCACAGGGUUUAUGAUGAGGCUGGAUAGGGUACAGGGAUGAGGCUGGAUAGGGCACAGGGUUUAUGAUGAGGCUGGAUAGGGUACAGGGAUGAGGCUGGAUAGGGCACAGAGAUGAGGCUAGAUAAGGCACAGGGUUUCUGAUGAGGCUGGAUAGAGUACAGGGAUGAGGCUGGAUAGGGCACAGGGAUGAGGCUGGAUAGAGCACAGGGAUGAGGCUGGAUAGGGCACAGGGAUGAGGCUGGAUAGAGUACAGGGAUGAGGCUGGAUAGGGCACAGAGAUGAGGCUGGAUAGAGUACAGGGAAGAGGCUGGAUAGAGUACAGGGAUGAGGCUGGAUAGAGUACAGGGAUGAGGCUGGAUAGAGUACAGGGAUGAGGCUGGAUAGAGUACAGGGAUGAGGCUGGAUAGGGUACAGGGAUGAGGCUGGAUAGAGAACAGGGAUGAGGCUGGAUAGAGCACAGGGAUGAGGCUGGAUAGAGCACAGGGAUGAGGCUGGAUAGAGCACAGGGAUGAGGCUGGAUAGAGUACAGGGAUGAGGCUGGAUAGAGUACAGGGAUGAGGCUGGAUAGGGCACAGG